This 560-nucleotide long non-coding RNA is filed under the name Homo sapiens (human). RNAcentral's name for it is "long independently transcribed non-coding RNA 3024 (LINC03024)". The record is from RNAcentral. Lineage: Eukaryota; Metazoa; Chordata; Mammalia; Primates; Hominidae.
UGCUGGGGAAGAGUGUUGCCUCAGCUCAAAAGCAGAAUCGGAUCCUGAAGGACCUAAUGACUAGAAACUUCCAGCUGACUACACUCUGCAACUGACUGAUGGCACAUUGCAUAAAGAAACGCGAACCCAGCAGCACUCCUGCCAGCGGCAAUUCUGAGUGCUCAUUUCCACUUUGCCAAGACAUUACAUGGGAAGGCAUGUGCGUUUAAGGGCAUCCAAUUGUUUCUGUAUCAGAACAGCAGCAACAUCCCGGGCAGGCCUUUCCUCUGGAGUUCACGUGUAGGUCGUACUGACACACAACAUGGCCUAAAUGGACCAUGGAGGAGGAAGGGACCCCAAAUCCAGGCCAAAUGGGAGCAGGGUUGUCCUCAGGAGGACCCCAGCUAGAAGACUUUCUCUGGAACCCACGGUGCCUCUCACUAAAGUGCCCCAACGUUGGCACAACACCUACCGAAUUGUUGUUGCUGACUCUCUAUGCCCAUGAUUCAACCAGAACAACAUUGAUUCGUUAAAAGGUGCAUGAAUAAACUUGACUCUGGAAACAAAAAAAAAAAAAAAAA